Lemur catta (Ring-tailed lemur) is the source of this 329-nucleotide long non-coding RNA. RefSeq lists it as uncharacterized. The record is from RefSeq and is a predicted model, not a curated record. The transcript has 3 exons. Lineage: Eukaryota; Metazoa; Chordata; Mammalia; Primates; Lemuridae.
UGAAUGUCCUACCUUUACAGGUGUCAUCUCGUCAUCUGCCCAGCCCCCCUGAGGCUGGUGCUGCUGUUGCAUCCCUAUUCUCCAGAUGAAGAAACCAAGACACAAAGGAUCAACCGAUUACCCAGAAUCCUCUAGCAUGGUGGAGCUCAGAUUUGAAUCCAGGUGGCCUGACUCCAGAGCCCACACUCCCAGCCACUGAGCCACACUGCUUCACGAGAGGAGGCAGAGGGGUGGGCAGGCCAUGCUAAAGCUUGGGGUCUUCUCCUUGGGCAGGUAAAGGAAGAGACCGGAGCUCAAGCUCUCUCUGCCCCGUGAGGACACAGCCAGAA